UGUAUCAAGUUUUAAAGAGCACACGGUGGAUGCCUUGGCAAUAGGAGCCGAAGAAGGACGUAGAAAUCUGCGAUAAGCCUCGGGGAGUCGAUAAUCAGACUUUGAUCCGAGGAUUUCCGAAUGGGGAAACCCAGCCAGACUCGAUCUGGUUACUCCCGUCUGAAUGUAUAGGACGGGUAGAGGGAACGUGGGGAAGUGAAACAUCUCAGUACCCACAGGAAGAGAAAACAACAGUGAUUCCGUAAGUAGUGGCGAGCGAACGCGGAAGAGGCUAAACCAAGCAUGUGUGAUAUCCGGCAGGAGUUGCAUGUUUGGGGUUGCGGGACUUUUCAGAAGGUCUGCCGACCUUCAAGAGUAUGUUAUUCAUAUAGACGAAUGGUCUUGAACGGCCAGUCAUAGAGGGUGCGAACCCCGUAGUCGAAAUGUGAAUGCAGCUCGAGAAGUAUCCCAAGUAGCACGGAACCCGUGAAAUUCUGUGUGAAUCAGCGAGGACCACCUCGUAAGCCUAAAUACUACCUAUUGACCGAUAGCGGACAAGUACCGUGAGGGAAAGGUGAAAAGUACCGCGGGAGCGGAGUGAAAUAGUACCUGAAACCGUGUGCUUACAAUCCGUCGGAGCCAGCUUGUUCUGGUGACGGCGUGCCUUUUGAAGAAUGAUCCUGAGAGUUAGUGAUCUGUGGCAAGCUUAACCCGCGAGGGGGAGGCGUAGCGAAAGCGAGUCUGAAUAGGGCGCUUUAGUCGCAGGUUCUAGACCCGAAGCGAGGUGAUCUACCCAUGGCCAGGUUGAAGCGAAGGUAAGACUUCGUGGAGGACCGAACCCACUUCAGUUGAAAAUGGAGGGGAUGAGCUGUGGGUAGGGGUGAAAGGCCAAUCAAACCUCGUGAUAGCUGGUUCUCUCCGAAAUGCAUUUAGGUGCAGCGUCAUGUGUUUCUCUCUGGAGGUAGAGCUACUGGAUGACCGAUGGGCCCUACAAGGUUACUGACGUCAGCCAAACUCCGAAUGCCAGAGAGUUAGAGCAUGGCAGUGAGACUGCGGGGGAUAAGCUUCGUAGUCGAAAGGGAAACAGCCCAGACCACCAACUAAGGUCCCAAAGCGCUUGCUAAGUGGGAAAGGAUGUGGAGUUGCAGAGACAACCAGGAUGUUGGCUUAGAAGCAGCCACCAUUUAAAGAGUGCGUAACAGCUCACUGGUCAAGUGAUUCCGCGCCGACAAUAUAACGGGGCUCAAGCAAGUCACCGAAGUUGUGGCAUUUAUACAUUGCUAGGCCGUAAGGUCCAGGCGUAUAGAUGGGUAGGAGAGCGUCGUGUGGCGAGUGAAGCGGCGGGGUGACCCAGCCGUGGACGCCACACGAGUGAGAAUUCAGGAAUGAGUAGCGAAAUGCGGGUGAGAAACCCGCACUCCGGAAGACUAAGGGUUCCAGGGCCAGGCUAAUCCGCCCUGGGUAAGUCGGGACCUAAGGCGAGGCCGACAGGCGUAGUCGAUGGACAACGGGUUGAUAUUCCCGUACCGGCGAAGAACCGCCCAAACUAAUCCAGUAAUGCUAAGUAGCUGAAACUAUCUGUUGAGACCUUCGGGUUGAUCUGGAUAGCGGAGCCUACGACCCUAUGCUGGUGCGGUUAGCGUAUUAACAGGUGUGACGCAGGAAGGUAGCCUCCGCGGGGCGAUGGUUGUCCCCGUUUAAGGACGUAGGGCGAGAGAUAGGCAAAUCCGUCUCUCAUUAAGCCUGAGAUCUGAUGAUGAGUCCGCAAGGACGAAGUGGGUGAUCCUAUGCUGCCAAGAAAAGCAUCGACGUGAGGUUCAAGCUGCCCGUACCCCAAACCGACUCAGGUAGUCAGGUAGAGAAUACUAAGGAGAUCGAGAGAAUCGCGGUUAAGGAACUCGGCAAAAUGCCCCCGUAACUUCGGGAGAAGGGGGGCCUGAGGCGUGUAUGGAUUUACUCCAGAAGCGCUGUAUGGCCGCAGAGACCAGUGAGUAGCGACUGUUUAUCAAAAACACAGGUCCGUGCGAAGUUGCAAAACGAUGUAUACGGACUGACUCCUGCCCGGUGCUGGAAGGUUAAGAGGACUGGUUAGCAGUAAUGCAAAGCUAGGAAUUUAAGCCCCAGUAAACGGCGGUGGUAACUAUAACCAUCCUAAGGUAGCGAAAUUCCUUGUCGGGUAAGUUCCGACCUGCACGAAUGGAGUAACGACUUCUCAGCUGUCUCAACCGCGAACUCGGCGAAAUUGCACUAUGAGUGAAGAUGCUCAUUACGCGCAGAAGGACGAAAAGACCCCGUGACCUUUACUAUAGCUUGGUAUUGGUGUUCGGUGUGGCUUAUGUAGGAUAGGUGGGAGACUGUGAAGCUUGAACGCUAGUUCAGGUGGAGUCAUUGUUGAAAUACCACUUUUGUCACCCUGGAUAUCUAACCACGAACCGUAAUCCGGUUCUGGGACAGUGCCUGGUGGGUAGUUUAACUGGGGCGGUUGCCUCCUAAAAAGUAACGGAGGCGCCCAAAGGUUCCCUCAGCCUGGUUGGUAAUCAGGUGUCGAGUGUAAGUGCACAAGGGAGCUUGACUGUGAGACUGACAAGUCGAGCAGGGACGAAAGUCGGGACUAGUGAUCCGGCAGUGGCUUGUGGAAGCGCUGUCGCUCAACGGAUAAAAGGUACCUCGGGGAUAACAGGCUGAUCUUGCCCAAGAGUCCAUAUCGACGGCAUGGUUUGGCACCUCGAUGUCGGCUCGUCGCAUCCUGGGGCUGUAGUAGGUCCCAAGGGUUGGGCUGUUCGCCCAUUAAAGCGGCACGCGAGCUGGGUUCAGAACGUCGUGAGACAGUUCGGUCUCUAUCCUCUGCGCGCGCAGGAAAUUUGAGAAAACCUGACCCUAGUACGAGAGGACCGGGUUGGACAAACCUCUGGUGUGUCAGUUGUACUGCCAAGUGCACCGCUGAUUAGCUACGUUUGGGAGGGAUAACCGCUGAAAGCAUCUAAGCGGGAAGCCUGUUUCAAGAUGAGAUUUCCAUGACUUAGGUCGAGAGGGCCGCAGCUAGAUUACUGCGUUGAUAGGCGGGAUGUGGAAGUGUCGAAAGGCAUGGAGCUGACCCGUACUAAUAGCCCGAUAACUUGAUACAA
RNAcentral lists this ribosomal RNA (3104 nucleotides) under Candidatus Aquiluna sp. UB-MaderosW2red. RNAcentral's name for it is "bacterial LSU rRNA". It matches the Rfam family "Bacterial large subunit ribosomal RNA". Lineage: Bacteria; Bacillati; Actinomycetota; Actinomycetes; Micrococcales; Microbacteriaceae. The record is from RNAcentral.